UAAAUAACAAUGCAGAGCCCUCUGGGUUUUGCAAUUGGAAUGAGAACAAUUUAAAUCCCUUAUCGAGUAACAAUUGGAGGGCAAGUCUGGUGCCAGCAGCCGCGGUAAUUCCAGCUCCAAUAGCGUAUAUUAAAGUUGUUGCAGUUAAAAAGCUCGUAGUUGAACUUUUGGUGAGGUGCUGUGGUUUAGCAUUUGCUGGACUGCCGUGCUGAGCCUCUUUUGGGGGAAACGUCACUUGUGGCGGCGAACCCGUGUUACUGUGAGGAAAUUAGAGUGUUUAAAGCAGGCGAUCGCUUGAAUACAUUAGCAUGGAAUAACAAGAUAGGACUUGGUUCUACUUGUUGGUUUGGGAGCCAAAGUAAUGAUUAAUAGGGCCAGUUGGGGGCAUUAGUAUUCAGCAGUCAGAGGUGAAAUUCUUGGAUUUGCUGAAGACUAACUAGUGCGAAAGCAUUUGCCAAGGAUGUUUUCAUUAAUCAAGAACGAAAGUUAGGGGAUCGAAGACGAUCAGAUACCGUCGUAGUCUUAACUAUAAACGAUGCCGACUCGGGAUCGGCAGGAUUCGUUCGCGAACCUGUCGGCACCGUGUGAGAAAUCAAAGUUUUUGGGUUCUGGGGGAGUAUGGUCGCAAGGCUGAAACUUAAAGGAAUUGACGGAAGGGCACCACCAGGAGUGGAGCCUGCGGCUUAAUUUGACUCAACACGGGAAAACUCACCAGGUCCGGACAUAGUAAGGAUUGACAGAUUGAGAGCUCUUUCUUGAUUCUGUGGGUGGUGGUGCAUGGCCGUUCUUAGUUGGUGGAGUGAUUUGUCUGGUUAAUUCCGAUAACGAACGAGACCUUAACCUGCUAACUAGAGCACAUUACGUGAGUAGUGUGUUACUUCUUAGAGGGACUGACUAUGUUUAAUAGUCGGAAGUUUGAGGCAAUAACAGGUCUGUGAUGCCCUUAGAUGUUCUGGGCUGCACGCGCGCUACACUGACAAAGGCAGCGAGUAUACCUUGGCCGAGAGGUCUGGGAAAUCUUGUUAAACUUUGUCGUGCUGGGGAUAGAUCAUUGCAAUUAUUGGUCUUGAACGAGGAAUUCCUAGUAAGCGCAAGUCAUCAGCUUGCGUUGAUUACGUCCCUGCCCUUUGUACACACCGCCCGUCGCUACUACCGAUUGAAUGGCUUAGUGAGGC
RNAcentral lists this ribosomal RNA (1175 nucleotides) under uncultured Rozellomycota. Its description in RNAcentral is "SSU rRNA". It matches the Rfam family "Eukaryotic small subunit ribosomal RNA", at positions 474 to 1707 of the family's 1831-position model. Lineage: Eukaryota; Fungi; Rozellomycota. The record is from RNAcentral.